This 391-nucleotide ribosomal RNA is filed under the name uncultured bacterium. Its description in RNAcentral is "bacterial SSU rRNA". It matches the Rfam family "Bacterial small subunit ribosomal RNA", at positions 28 to 420 of the family's 1533-position model. The record is from RNAcentral.
GACGAACGCUGGCGGCGUGCUUAACACAUGCAAGUCGAGCGGCAAGGCCCUUUCGGGGGUACACGAGCGGCGAACGGGUGAGUAACACGUGGGUGACCUGCCCUCAGCUCUGGGAUAAGCCUGGGAAACCGGGUCUAAUACUGGAUAUGACUCCAUGACGCAUGUUGUGGGGUGGAAAGCCUUGUGCGGCUGAGGAUGGGCCCGCGGCCUAUCAGCUUGUUGGUGGGGUGAUGGCCUACCAAGGCGACGACGGGUAGCCGGCCUGAGAGGGCGACCGGCCACACUGGGACUGAGACACGGCCCAGACUCCUACGGGAGGCAGCAGUGGGGAAUCUUGCGCAAUGGGCGAAAGCCUGACGCAGCGACGCCGCGUGAGGGAUGACGGCCUCGG